RNAcentral lists this ribosomal RNA (240 nucleotides) under uncultured bacterium. RNAcentral's name for it is "partial 16S ribosomal RNA". It matches the Rfam family "Bacterial small subunit ribosomal RNA", at positions 524 to 762 of the family's 1533-position model. The record is from RNAcentral.
GACGAAGGUCCCCUAGCGUUGUUCGGAAUCAUUGGGCGUAAAGCGUGUGUAGGCGGCUAUUUAAGUCAGGUGUGAAAGCCCUGGGCUCAACCCAGGAAGUGCGUUUGAUACUGAGUAGCUUGAGUAUUGGAGAGGAUAGUAGAAUUCCUGGUGUAGUGGUGAAAUACGUAGAUAUCAGGAGGAAUACCGGUGGCGAAGGCGGCUAUCUGGCCAUAUACUGACGCUGAGACACGAAAGCGU